Molecule: ribosomal RNA, 231 nt
Filed under: uncultured bacterium
Lineage: Bacteria
Description: partial 16S ribosomal RNA
Rfam family: Bacterial small subunit ribosomal RNA
Source: RNAcentral
UGAGCAACCCUACCCUCAACUUCGGGAUAAGCCUCGGAAACGGGGUCUAAUACCGGAUAUCACCAGCUUCCUCAUGGUUGUUGGUUGAAAGUUCUGGCGGUUGGGGAUGGGCUCGCGGCCUAUCGAGCUUGUUGGUGGGGUAAUGGCCUACCAAGGCGUCGACGGGUAGCCGGCCUGAGAGGGCGACCGGCCACACUGGGACUGAGACACGGCCCAGACCCCCUACGGGAG